GCAGAGACCUUGGGUUUUUUCACCUUCCUCUGUUGCGUGGGGCACGGGUUACUUGCAGGUUUGAACCAGAGUAAAUGAUGGAUUUUCUGUAACUUGAAAUCUUUAAAUCAAGAUCUGAGGACU
Non-coding RNA from Chelonoidis abingdonii (Abingdon island giant tortoise), 123 nucleotides. Lineage: Eukaryota; Metazoa; Chordata; Testudines; Testudinidae. The record is from RefSeq and is a predicted model, not a curated record.